Molecule: ribosomal RNA, 497 nt
Filed under: uncultured bacterium
Lineage: Bacteria
Description: partial 16S ribosomal RNA
Rfam family: Bacterial small subunit ribosomal RNA
Source: RNAcentral
GAUGAACGCUGGCGGCGUGCCUAAUACAUGCAAGUCGAGCGAACAGACGAGGAGCUUGCUCCUCUGACGUUAGCGGCGGACGGGUGAGUAACACGUGGAUAACCUACCUAUAAGACUGGGAUAACUUCGGGAAACCGGAGCUAAUACCGGAUAAUAUAUUGAACCGCAUGGUUCAAUAGUUAAAGACGGUUUUGCUGUCACUUAUAGAUGGAUCCGCGCCGCGUUAGCUAGUUGGUAAGGUAACGGCUUAACAAGGCAACGAUGCGUAGCCGACCUGAGAGGGUGAUCGGCCACACUGGAACUGAGACACGGUCCAGACUCCUACGGGAGGCAGCAGUAGGGAAUCUUCCGCAAUGGGCGAAAGCCUGACGGAGCAACGCCGCGUGAGUGAUGAAGGUCUUCGGAUCGUAAAACUCUGUUAUUAGGGAAGAACAAAUGUGUAAGUAACUAUGCACGUCUUGACGGUACCUAAUCAGAAAGCCACGGCUAACUACGUG